UUCUGGAGCAGCCUUCCAAGUGGGCUAAGUCUAUGGGACAGUUUGUUGCCAACUUUGCAGGAAUGUGAAGGCUGGAGCAACAGCAACCCUCUUGGUCCAGCAAGAGGACUGGUCUAGCAACCCUCUAGGUAAUCUUGAGGGUGGAAGGCACACAGUAAGAGGGUGGACCAAGCAAGGAUGGAAGGACCCUGGGUCCCAUGAUUGGAGCUGUCCGGCAGCCACCAGACCAGACUAUCGCCAACCUCUCAAAUUCCUUUAUGCCUAUUCAGGGUGUUGACCACUGCCACGUCGAUGUCAUAGAGCUUCUUCACAGCCUGUUUGAUCUGGUGCUUGUUGGCUUUAACAUCCACAAUGAACACAGUGUGUUGUUGUCGUCUGUCUUCUUCGUGGCCAACUCAGUGGUCAGCGGAAACUUGAUGAUAACACAGUGGCCAAGCUUAUUU
RNAcentral lists this long non-coding RNA (443 nucleotides) under Homo sapiens (human). RNAcentral describes it as "non-protein coding lnc-NMUR1-3:2". The record is from RNAcentral. Lineage: Eukaryota; Metazoa; Chordata; Mammalia; Primates; Hominidae.